UCAGGAUGAACGCUGGCGGCGUGCCUAAUACAUGCAAGUCGAGCGAACAGAUAAGGAGCUUGCUCCUUUGACGUUAGCGGCGGACGGGUGAGUAACACGUGGGUAACCUACCUAUAAGACUGGAAUAACUCCGGGAAACCGGGGCUAAUGCCGGAUAACAUGUUGAACCGCAUGGUUCUACAGUGAAAGACGGUCUUGCUGUCACUUAUAGAUGGACCCGCGCCGUAUUAGCUAGUUGGUGGGGUAACGGCCUACCAAGGCGACGAUACGUAGCCGACCUGAGAGGGUGAUCGGCCACACUGGAACUGAGACACGGUCCAGACUCCUACGGGAGGCAGCAGUAGGGAAUCUUCCGCAAUGGGCGAAAGCCUGACGGAGCAACGCCGCGUGAGUGAUGAAGGUCUUCGGAUCGUAAAGCUCUGUUGUUAGGGAAGAACAAAUGUGUAAGUAACUGUGCACAUCUUGACGGUACCUAACCAGAAAGCCACGGCUAACUACGUGCCAGCAGCCGCGGUAAUACGUAGGUGGCAAGCGUUAUCCGGAAUUAUUGGGCGUAAAGCGCGCGUAGGCGGUUUUUUAAGUCUGAUGUGAAAGCCCACGGCUCAACCGUGGAGGGUCAUUGGAAACUGGAAAACUUGAGUGCAGAAGAGGAAAGUGGAAUUCCAUGUGUAGCGGUGAAAUGCGCAGAGAUAUGGAGGAACACCAGUGGCGAAGGCGGCUUUCUGGUCUGCAACUGACGCUGAUGUGCGAAAGCGUGGGGAUCAAACAGGAUUAGAUACCCUGGUAGUCCACGCCGUAAACGAUGAGUGCUAAGUGUUAGGGGGUUUCCGCCCCUUAGUGCUGCAGCUAACGCAUUAAGCACUCCGCCUGGGGAGUACGGUCGCAAGACUGAAACUCAAAGGAAUUGACGGGGACCCGCACAAGCGGUGGAGCAUGUGGUUUAAUUCGAAGCAACGCGAAGAACCUUACCAAAUCUUGACAUCCUUUGACAACUCUAGAGAUAGAGCUUUCCUCUUCGGAGGACAAAGUGACAGGUGGUGCAUGGUUGUCGUCAGCUCGUGUCGUGAGAUGUUGGGUUAAGUCCCGCAACGAGCGCAACCCUUGAACUUAGUUGCCAUCAUU
RNAcentral lists this ribosomal RNA (1122 nucleotides) under Staphylococcus delphini. RNAcentral describes it as "bacterial SSU rRNA". It matches the Rfam family "Bacterial small subunit ribosomal RNA", at positions 24 to 1125 of the family's 1533-position model. Lineage: Bacteria; Bacillati; Bacillota; Bacilli; Caryophanales; Staphylococcaceae. The record is from RNAcentral.